CGUACACUCAUAAUAAUGAUUUUGUUAAGGUUGGCAAAUGUCCGAGUCCGUUAAAAAAAAUCCAAUAAAUCCAUUAGAAAAAACAAACGAACUUUGCAAAGACGAAAACAAAAUGAAACUACAGUUGCUUGCUUCACUACCUUCAGAACAAAGGGAACAGUUUGAAAGUCCUAAAUUCUAAAAUAUGUCAAAAAUUAACUUAUAGAUUUUGUUACCAUUGUCAGACAAGAAUUUAAAUAGGUCUUGUACAGUUUUGAUGAAAUAUGAAAGAUGAUUUAGGCGUUAUGCAUGUUCUGUACCCGUCAAAUUCUGAUAUGGGAAAUAUUACUUAUUGUUCUACAGACGUCGGUAAAUAUUUCAUAAUUGAAAACCGCACCUUCUGAAAGACGUUUGUAUACAAAAAAAAGGAAAUAGGAUAUGAUUGCCAACGGGACAAUUAUCUACUUAAGCUCAAAUGAAGUGCAUGGAUUAAACUAAUAAUAUGCAACCGUAAUACCUUCAACAAUUAGAAAAACUCAUACCGUAUAAUCGGCUUAAAUUGUCCCGCUUGAUGAUUAUACAUUGUUGUUUCUUAAAAAUAAAUGAAUGAACGUCUUUAUUCUAAAGAAGGUACAAUAUCAUGAAAAAAUUGUGAAAACCCCUUCAGAUAUUUGACAAACCAUAAGUCUUCGCCUUUUUGUACGAACUCAAAAUUCAAGCAUCACACAUUUUUCUUUUACUUUCUAUACGAAAGUUGCUGCCCUCAUAAAUAUUAGCACCGGAUGUUAUCGACCGCUAGCCUUACACUAGUAAGUCUGUCGUAUGGGUAAUUGUGUUUUCAUUGUUGUUUUGUUGCAGUCUGGUGGACGAAUACCUGAAAUCUCCGUGUCAAACACCAAACUUUUAAAUGUCUAUAUAUUGGGUAAUUCAAACAUUUGUUUCUUCGCAUAGAAACAAGUCUUUGUUAAUCUGAGCAUGGAACGAAUACUUUAUAUAACGAACUAUAAACGUGGAUACAUAAAAUGAAAAACUUAGCUAAAAUGUUAAUCCCGCAUUGCACGAACAAAUGUGUUGUAUUUCAGGAAAUAACACGUGUUCUUUGUUGAUUGUAAACACGUAGUAGUCCAUCAUGCAUUGCUACUCAGUUAAUGGAUUGGUCAAAAACCCAGGUAAACAUAAAUUGCGUCACACGUAAAUAAACAGUUACAUGUGCGAGAACAUAAGUAUGCUAAUUCAUGCAUUUCCAUAUAUGGUAGAGUUCCCGACCUGUUGAAACUUUUGCUUACUUUACAUGUAUUAGUUUGUCAUAUUAAGGGGAACCGUAAGUAGUAAGUCAAUUCUAAGUGGUAUGCAGUUGUAUAAGUUUGUGCAUAUCUCAAAUCAAGACAAAAUAUUGGUCGUUAUCGCUAAGACAUGAUCCUUUGACUUUGAAUCUUUUUCUUUGUAUACAUUUAUUAGUUUGUGAUUAAGUUAUUUUAAGAUAAAUGUUUAGCACUGUAAAAAGUAAAAUCACAAAAAUACUGAACUAAGAGGAAAUUUUAAUCGGAAAGUCCAUAAUCACAUGGCAAAAUCAAAUAACAAAACACAUAAAAAAUGAAUGGACAAGAACCGUUAUAUUCCUGACUUGGUACAGGCAUUGUCAAAUGUAGAAAAUGAUUGAUUAAACCUGGUUUUAUAGCGCUAACCCUCUCACUUUGAUGACAGUCUCAUUAAAUUCCGUUAUAUUUACAAUGAUGCGUGAACUAAACAGACAUAAUAAAUAAAAUAGUCAAAAUAUGGGUACAGCAGUCAUCAUCGCGUAACAAUUUUAAAAGAAACAAUUUAACAGGACACAAAAACAUCUAUCUACAAACACAUUCAUUGAUACUUUUGUCUGACGUCAGAAAAUUAUAUACGUCACAAACGUUUGUCGUUAAAUGUAUAUACAAAAAAAUUUAAAUCCACAUAGGCAAUGUUAGCAUACAGGGUUAAAAAAUCAAAAGUAUGUAAGAAUCAAUUUCAGAAAUAGACCAAGAUUUUAAAUAGUCCAAAAGUUAUAAAGAAUUUAUAGGAAUCCACAAAUAGUUAAUUACAUUGCGCGAUUAAAUAAUUUUGACGUUUUUGGAUCAAUGUAUUUUGUAAUUCAUACUAAAAAUUUAUCAUAAUGACAUGAAAUAGAACAAUAUCAUACUGACGGGAUCUUUUUAAAGGUACAGAGUCACGUUAUAAGAACCAUGAACUUUAUUGCAGCUACAACAAUUGUAAUAUAUCAUGGUCAUUUGUGACACAGAUAUUUCAUAACCGUCAACAAAUAUUAAUUGUAUUAAUAUAAUGAAAAUUAUGUAGUCAUAUCUUCAUUUUUUCACGCUAACAAAUUAUUUUACUUUCUUUUUUUUUUUUUUUUAAAGUCAUGAUUUUACAUACUCCGAACACUACCACCUGACAAGGGGUAAAUACAGAAAAAAAGCAUGCAAUAUACAACAUGUAUCUUUGAGUAUUUAAUUUUUAACAGUAUGAAUAUUUUACAUAUGAUGUGUAUUUGAAUUAUCUAUAACUCUCUCUCUCUAGUUAAUCUAAUCUUCCUGCGAGUCCUCAAAAUAAUAAUAACAUAUUGUAUAAGUACAUACAGUAUUAUAAUGAUAUAGUAUAUAGUAUACAUAAUAUACAAUUGUAUCUAAAUAAUAAUGAAAAAGCAUUUUAAUUCGCA
This 2665-nucleotide long non-coding RNA is filed under the name Mytilus galloprovincialis (Mediterranean mussel). The record is from RNAcentral. Lineage: Eukaryota; Metazoa; Mollusca; Bivalvia; Mytilida; Mytilidae.